Molecule: ribosomal RNA, 466 nt
Filed under: uncultured bacterium
Lineage: Bacteria
Description: partial 16S ribosomal RNA
Rfam family: Bacterial small subunit ribosomal RNA
Source: RNAcentral
GACGAACGCUGGCGGCGCGCCUAACACAUGCAAGUCGAACGAGCGAGAGAGAGCUUGCUUUCUCGAGCGAGUGGCGAACGGGUGAGUAACGCGUGAGGAACCUGCCUCAAAGAGGGGGACAACAGUUGGAAACGACUGCUAAUACCGCAUAAGCCCACGACCCGGCAUCGGGUAGAGGAAAAAGGAGCAAUCCGCUUUGAGAUGGCCUCGCGUCCGAUUAGCUAGUUGGUGAGGUAACGGCCCACCAAGGCGACGAUCGGUAGCCGGACUGAGAGGUUGAACGGCCACAUUGGGACUGAGACACGGCCCAGACUCCUACGGGAGGCAGCAGUGGGGAAUAUUGCACAAUGGGGGAAACCCUGAUGCAGCGACGCCGCGUGGAGGAAGAAGGUCUUCGGAUUGUAAACUCCUGUUGUUGAGGAAGAUAAUGACGGUACUCAACAAGGAAGUGACGGCUAACUACGUG